UGCCUCAUACACAUGGAUAACAUACCGAAAGGUAUGCUAAUACAAGAUGAUAUAAGAGAUUCGCAUGGAUUUCUUAUCAAAGCUCCGGCGGUAUGAGAUGGACCCGCGUCUGAUUAGCUAGUUGGUAAGGUAAUGGCUUACCAAGGCGACGAUCAGUAGCCGACCUGAGAGGGUGAUCGGCCACAUUGGAACUGAGACACGGUCCAAACUCCUACGGGAGGCAGCAGUGGGGAAUAUUGCACAAUGGGCGAAAGCCUGAUGCAGCAACGCCGCGUGAGCGAUGAAGGCCUUCGGGUCGUAAAGCUCUGUCCUCAAGGAAGAUAAUGACGGUACUUGAGGAGGAAGCCCCGGCUAACUACGUGCCAGCAGCCGCGGUAAUACGUAGGGGGCUAGCGUUAUCCGGAUUUACUGGGCGUAAAGGGUGCGUAGGUGGUUUCUUAAGUCAGGAGUGAAAGGCUACGGCUCAACCGUAGUAAGCUCUUGAAACUGGGAAACUUGAGUGCAGGAGAGGAAAGUGGAAUUCCUAGUGUAGCGGUGAAAUGCGUAGAUAUUAGGAGGAACACCAGUAGCGAAGGCGGCUUUCUGGACUGUAACUGACACUGAGGCACGAAAGCGUGGGGAGCAAACAGGAUUAGAUACCCUGGUAGUCCACGCCGUAAACGAUGAGUACUAGCUGUCGGAGGUUACCCCCCUCGGUGCCGCAG
Molecule: ribosomal RNA, 704 nt
Filed under: uncultured bacterium
Lineage: Bacteria
Description: bacterial SSU rRNA
Rfam family: Bacterial small subunit ribosomal RNA
Source: RNAcentral